GACGAACGCUGGCGGCGCGCCUAACACAUGCAAGUCGAACGAGCGAGAGAGAGCUUGCUUUCUCAAGCGAGUGGCGAACGGGUGAGUAACGCGUGAGGAACCUGCCUCAAAGAGGGGGACAACAGUUGGAAACGACUGCUAAUACCGCAUAAGCCCGCGACCCGGCAUCGGGUAGAGGGAAAAGGAGCAAUCCGCUUUGAGAUGGCCUCGCGUCCGAUUAGCUAGUUGGUGAGGUAACGGCCCACCAAGGCGACGAUCGGUAGCCGGACUGAGAGGUUGAACGGCCACAUUGGGACUGAGACACGGCCCAGACUCCUACGGGAGGCAGCAGUGGGGAAUAUUGCACAAUGGGGGAAACCCUGAUGCAGCGACGCCGCGUGGAGGAAGAAGGUCUUCGGAUUGUAAACUCCUGUUGUUGAGGAAGAUAAUGACGGUACUCAACAAGGAAGUGACGGCUAACUACGUGCCAGCAGCCGCGGUAAAACGUAGGUCACAAGCGUUGUCCGGAAUUACUGGGUGUAAAGGGAGCGCAGGCGGGAAGACAAGUUGGAAGUGAAAUCCAUGGGCUCAACCCAUGAACUGCUUUCAAAACUGUUUUUCUUGAGUAGUGCAGAGGUAGGCGGAAUUCCCGGUGUAGCGGUGGAAUGCGUAGAUAUCGGGAGGAACACCAGUGGCGAAGGCGGCCUACUGGGCACCAACUGACGCUGAGGCUCGAAAGUGUGGGUAGCAAACAGGACUAGAUACCCUGGUAGUCCACACUGUAAACGAUGAUUACUAGGUGUUGGAGGAUUGACCCCUUCAGUGCCGCAGUUAACACAAUAAGUAAUCCACCUGGGGAGUACGACCGCAAGGUUGAAACUCAAAGGAAUUGACGGGGGCCCGCACAAGCAGUGGAGUAUGUGGUUUAAUUCGACGCAACGCGAAGAACCUUACCAAGUCUUGACAUCCUGCGACGGUACUGGAAACAGUACUUUCCUUCGGGACGCAGAGACAGGUGGUGCAUGGUUGUCGUCAGCUCGUGUCGUGAGAUGUUGGGUUAAGUCCCGCAACGAGCGCAACCCUUAUGGUCAGUUACUACGCAAGAGGACUCUGGCCAGACUGCCAUUGACAAAACGGAGGAAGGUGGGGAUGACGUCAAAUCAUCAUGCCCUUUAUGACUUGGGCUACACACGUACUACAAUGGCGUUAAACAAAGAGAAGCAAGACCGCGAGGUGGAGCAAAACUCAGAAACAACGUCCCAGUUCGGACUGCAGGCUGCAACUCGCCUGCACGAAGUCGGAAUUGCUAGUAAUCGCAGAUCAGCAUGCUGCGGUGAAUACGUUCCCGGGCCUU
This 1333-nucleotide ribosomal RNA is filed under the name uncultured bacterium. RNAcentral's name for it is "bacterial SSU rRNA". It matches the Rfam family "Bacterial small subunit ribosomal RNA", at positions 28 to 1382 of the family's 1533-position model. The record is from RNAcentral.